CCACCUGAUUCCAUACCGAACUCAGAAGUGAAAAGCUGUAACGUCGAUGGUAGUGUGGGGAUUCCCCAUGUGAGAGUAGAGCAUCGUCGGGG
RNAcentral lists this ribosomal RNA (92 nucleotides) under Glaesserella parasuis. Lineage: Bacteria; Pseudomonadati; Pseudomonadota; Gammaproteobacteria; Pasteurellales; Pasteurellaceae. The record is from RNAcentral.